RNAcentral lists this ribosomal RNA (409 nucleotides) under uncultured bacterium. RNAcentral's name for it is "bacterial SSU rRNA". It matches the Rfam family "Bacterial small subunit ribosomal RNA", at positions 505 to 916 of the family's 1533-position model. The record is from RNAcentral.
UUGCCAGCCGCCGCGGUAAUACGGAGGGUGCAAGCGUUAUCCGGAUUCAUUGGGUUUAAAGGGUGCGCAGGCGGAUACUUAAGUCAGUGGUGAAAUCCCGGGGCUCAACCCCGGAACUGCCAUUGAUACUGAAUAUCUGGAAUACGGUUGAAGUGGGCGGAAUGUAGCAUGUAGCGGUGAAAUGCAUAGAGAUGCUACAGAACACCGAUCGCGAAGGCAGCUCACUAAGCCGAUAUUGACGCUCAGGCACGAAAGCGUGGGGAGCGAACAGGAUUAGAUACCCUGGUAGUCCACGCCGUAAACGAUGAUAACUCGUUGUUGGCGACACACAGUCAGCGACUAAGCGAAAGCGAUAAGUUAUCCACCUGGGGAGUACGAUCGCAAGGUUGAAACUUAAAUGAAUUGACGG